UAUCCGUUGGUGAACCAGCGGAGGGAUCAUUACCGAGUGCAAACCCAUAACCCUUUGUGAACCUAUAUCUGUUGCUUCGGCGGCUCGCUCUCGGGCGAGCCCGCCGGUAAUAUCAGUAUCUCUGUUUGAACCCGACGAUACUUCUGAGUGUUCUUAGCGAACAGUUAAAACUUUUAACAACGGAUCUCUUGGCUCUA
This 197-nucleotide unclassified non-coding RNA is filed under the name plant metagenome. RNAcentral describes it as "partial contains small subunit ribosomal RNA, internal transcribed spacer 1, and 5.8S ribosomal RNA". The record is from RNAcentral.